Molecule: long non-coding RNA, 667 nt
Filed under: Equus caballus (horse)
Lineage: Eukaryota; Metazoa; Chordata; Mammalia; Perissodactyla; Equidae
Description: lncRNA (ENSECAG00000057393.1)
Source: RNAcentral
GCAGAGCCGUCUCCGAGCCUCCUGGGGGAGAAGGCUGUCAGCUCCACCAGGCCAGAAGUCUGUGUCUGGCUGGCUCGCUGCUGUACCCCAGAUGGCUGAAACAGCGCCUGUCCCACAGCAGGUGCCUCAUAAAUAGCACAGAGCUGUCCUGACUCACAGCCUGCGUGUCCUCUGCUUCAGGUGAAGUUCUGGUCAUGGCUGAGGCUUCACCCAGAGGCCCUCUCCUCCAGGAAGUCUCCCUGGAGUGUCCCGUGGGCCACACCCUCUCCUGUCAAGGCCUGUCGAGGACGCUUGAUCUGUUUCCACUCUGUCGCCACCUGUUCCUGAGUCGGUCACCGUGGACUCCUCCACAGCCCUCGGUCCCUAGGGACUGGCUGUGGCACUGGAUCCUAGCAGGUGCCAAAUAGACGUUUCCGAAGAAAUGCAGGCGUGAAGGGGUGAAUGGCUGGGGAGGUGGGGGAGCAAGGGAGAGGGAACCGUAACAGCUGCUAAAAGGGACGAGAGCGUCCCUCAGCCAGGCUGUGCGGUGCGGCCCGCCUGCACCUGCUCCCUCCAUCUCAACAUCCCCCCGAGGCAGCCCUGGUCAUCGUCAGGCCCACUUUACCAAACACGGGGGUUCUUUUAACCAAUGGGGUCCAUGCUGUCUUGUUAGCACACUCUUAUUGGC